Molecule: non-coding RNA, 275 nt
Organism: Cinara cedri
Lineage: Eukaryota; Metazoa; Arthropoda; Insecta; Hemiptera; Aphididae
Source: the annotation of a GenBank genome assembly
GGGGUUAUUAUUUGCGAUUCUCAUUAAAAGGUGGCUAAAGUUACCCAGCACUUUCUUUCUGUGUAUGUUUCACUUUUACUGUUACGCCAUAUUAAUACUUGUUGAGAUACUGAUAUCAUUUGUGUAGUCUCUUGAUUUUCAAAUAUUGCAUACAAAUUGCAGUAAUUUUGGCCUGCUCUUCAUUAACAAUACCUGUACAGACAUUAACAACUCUUUUACUUUAAGAAAAACUUUAGCACACUCAUGAAUCCUUGUAAAUUUACUGUAAUUUUUUU